This 333-nucleotide ribosomal RNA is filed under the name Triticum aestivum (bread wheat). RNAcentral's name for it is "partial small subunit ribosomal RNA". Lineage: Eukaryota; Viridiplantae; Streptophyta; Magnoliopsida; Poales; Poaceae. The record is from RNAcentral.
AUGGUUACUGGCCGUGGGAUUCCCGGGAACAAAAACACCAUUCAAGAAUUCAGACCAUGUUCACCGGAUGAACGUGCAGCUGGGAAUCUGCGUAUGAACUUGUUUAGAUCAGAAAUUUGGUGCUAUUAUCAGACAGAAAAUGAUCAUAAACUGGAACGCCGGACAAAUCAUCUGGAAUUCGGUGCUACCAUCAGACAAAUCCUUGAGCAAGCAUGCCGCGAAAAUGAACAGACUGCAAGACAAGAAGACAGCAAGAGCACUGCAUCAUGGAUCCGAACUGAAAUUGUCACUUAUAUUAUGAUCACAUCGCUACAUCCCUUAAUAGAUACAUAA